ACGGGGAGCACCACAACAGGUGGAGCCUGCGGUUUAAUCGGACUCAACGCCGGGAAACUCACCAGAUAAGACAGCUGAAUGAUAGUCGGGCUGAAGACUCUACUUGACUAGCUGAGAGGAGGUGCAUGGCCGUCGUCGGUUCGUACUGUGAAGCAUCCUGUUAAGUCAGGCAACGAGCGAGACCCACGCCAACAGUUGCCAGCUCGUCCUCCGGGAUGGUGGGGACACUGUUGGGACCGCCUCUGCUAAAGAGGAGGAAGGAAUGGGCAACGGUAGGUCAGCAUGCCCCGAAUUAUCUGGGCUACACGCGGGCUACAAUGGGUGGGACAAUGGGUAUCGACACCGAAAGGUGAAGGCAAUCUCCUAAACCCAUCCGUAGUUCGGAUUGUGGGCUGCAACUCGCCCACAUGAAGCUGGAAUCUGUAGUAAUCGUGUCUCAAAAUGGCACGGUGAAUAUGUCCCUGCUCCUU
RNAcentral lists this ribosomal RNA (470 nucleotides) under uncultured Methanomicrobiales archaeon. RNAcentral's name for it is "bacterial SSU rRNA". It matches the Rfam family "Archaeal small subunit ribosomal RNA", at positions 871 to 1337 of the family's 1478-position model. The record is from RNAcentral. Lineage: Archaea; Methanobacteriati; Methanobacteriota; Methanomicrobia; Methanomicrobiales.